GGGGCUGUAACUCAGUGGUAGAGUGCCUCGUUUGCAACCUCAAAUACCUCGAAAGAGAUGAUUGAUAAUGCUCGAUGAAGUCCAGGGUUCGACUCCCUGCCGCUCCA
Sclerotinia nivalis is the source of this 107-nucleotide non-coding RNA. NCBI's taxonomy places the organism in Eukaryota, Fungi, Ascomycota, Leotiomycetes, Helotiales, Sclerotiniaceae. The record is from the annotation of a GenBank genome assembly.